This 784-nucleotide long non-coding RNA is filed under the name Monodelphis domestica (gray short-tailed opossum). Its description in RNAcentral is "lncRNA (ENSMODG00000043821.1)". Lineage: Eukaryota; Metazoa; Chordata; Mammalia; Didelphimorphia; Didelphidae. The record is from RNAcentral.
UUUUUAUUUAAUUAGUUAAUUUAGAAUAUUUUCCCAUAGUUACAAGAUUCAUGUUCUUUCCCUCCCCUCCUCUCAUACCCUUCCCAUAGCUGACAGGCAAUUCCACUGGGUUUAAUAUGUGUCAUUGAUCAAGAUCUAUUUCCAUAUUAUUGAUAUUUGCACUAGAGUGAUCAUUUAGAGUCUACAUCCCCAAUCAUAUCCCCAUGUGAUCAAGCAGUUGUUUUUCUUCUGUGUUUUUACUGCCACAGUUCUUCUUCUGGAUGUGAAUAGUAUUCUUUCUCAUAAGUCCUCAGGAGGACAGUUUUAAAAAUGCAGCCUGUUUCAUGGAAAAAUGAAGCCCUUACGCUGGUUCAUUGGUCUUCGGUCUGGGAAGAAACAUUCAUCACCGCUAGUUCAGGGAAGAGACAAUACAAUUCCCACUCCCUUGAGUCUCUCCCUGAUCUGCCUGACUGCCUGGAUUGCCUUUUUCUGGAGGAGAGCACAUCUCAUCUAGUUUGUUGUAUCUUCUCCCUAAUGAUCUUCCCACUCUGGAGAUGCCUUCACCCCUGUGUUUCUCCUCUCAGAAUGGCCAGUUCCUUGCUGGGAGCAUCUCAGGAGUCCACCAACUAUCCUCAACAAGUCUUCACAGCUCCCAAAGAAUACUCCUUGAAACAAAUUAGUGAAAUCAACCAAAAUGAGGUCACUUCUAACUCUUAAAUCAUAAGAAAGAGAAGAAAGAUGGAGAAAGGGAAAGAGAAAGGAAAUGAAGAAUAAAGAAGGAGAAAGAGAAGAAAAGGAAGGAAAA